UUCGAGGGAAGCUAGGGUUUCCUCGAAAUUUCCUCGGAAUUACCCUUAACGGUUUAGGGGUUUGAUAAAAAUUACCUAGAUCCUCGAAAUUUCCUCGAAAUAUUCCGAGGAAAUUUCGACGACCAAGAUAAUUUUAGGGGUUUGAUUUAAAACACCUUUCUUCGUCGAAAUACCCUCGAAAUAUUUCGAGGAAAUUUCGAGGGAAUACAAAUUUUUUGGCUUUCCUCGAAAUUCCGUCGAAAUAUUUCGAGGGAAUUUCGAGGACCUAGCCAAUUUUUGGUAGUUCCUCGAAAUUCCCUCACAAUAUUUCGACGGAAUUUCGAGGAACAGGGGGUUUUAAACCGAAAACAACGUUUUGCGGAUUGAAUAACACGUAUAUAACCUUCAUUAAGUGUCUUAGCCAGAUUAUAAAGUCCAACUUUAGGGUUUUAACCCGAAAACAAUGUUUUGCGGAUUGAGACGAAAACCACACAACAUAAGAUAAACACUUAUACGUUUUAAUAAACGUUAAAGGAAAUACUUACAAUAAUUUUUGUAAUUGUGUUAUUUCAUUAUUUAUGAUCAUCUAUACAAAGAAACCUCAUUAUUAUGAAUUACAUUUGUAUAAGAAAUGACAUAGGGAAAAAAAUCGAUGUUUUCAAAACCCCAAACCCUAUUUCCUCGAAAUUUCCUCACAAUAUUGUGAGGAAAUUUCGAGGAAUGUUUUCCUCGGACUGUUUUUCAUUAACCAGGAAACCCUAGCCGCCAACAAGAGAAUUUCGAGGAAAUUUCGACGACCACGUUAAAAAAUUUCGAGGAAAUUUCGACGGACCCUGUCCGUCGGACCCCUCAUAAAUUAGGUUUUCAUUCUUUUCUUCCCCAUUUCUCUCCUUCUCGAUUUUCCUCUCUUCCUCACCGCCUCCUUCUCCUCUCCUCUCUCUUCCUCGCGGCUCCUCUCCUUCUCCUCUCCUCCUUGCCGGAUCUCCUCUCCUCUCCUCUCCUCUCUUCCUCUCGCCUCCUUCCUCCCCUCUCUUCCUCUCCUCUCUUCCCAUGUCUCAAGAGGAACAUACCCGCUCUCGACAGCGUCGUGGUCGUGGUGGUUCGGGGAGCGGCUCCAUUUCGGGUUCCGCAUCGCCGUACAGCUCGUACCAGACAUCUCCUUCUCCAUUUCCCUCUCAUUCUCCUCCCGCUCCCGGUGUGGCACCCACUCCUGCUCCUGCUCAUGCUCCUGCUCAUCCGGCACUUCUGAGAGUUGCGGAGUUUGUUCGACAGCCGGGUCGUGACCAUCUUCCAUAUCUCACUCAGUAUCCACGUGGACAGGGUCAGACAUGGUAAUUAAACCUAUUUUUUUUCAUUAAAAUUUGAUUCAUUUAAAAUAUUUAAUUCUAAAAUAAUUAAUUCUUUUUAUUAAGUUUGACCGAUCCGGGAACGGGAUCAGCGGAUGGAUCAACAGUAUGAUGUACUCGUCCCUCGACAAUGGACAUCCGACUUUCACCGACUUCCCUCUCGAGAAGCAGCAUAUGUGGUUUCAACAGUUUGCGCAACAAUUCAACUGGAAUGCCGAUGAUACGUUGUUUAUCUAUUACCACUUCGUCCAUAAAGUUAUGGACAACUAUGGGAAGCAGAUGCACUCG
Molecule: long non-coding RNA, 1613 nt
Organism: Raphanus sativus (radish)
Lineage: Eukaryota; Viridiplantae; Streptophyta; Magnoliopsida; Brassicales; Brassicaceae
Exons: 3
Source: RefSeq, a predicted model, not a curated record